AUGCUAUGAUAUGGACACUAAUCAGCAUACCCUUGAACCUCUCCCAUGUUUCUUGUAGUGAUUCUGUUGGUCUCUGCAUAAAGCUCAAUAUAUCAUCAAUUUGUUU
RNAcentral lists this small nucleolar RNA (106 nucleotides) under Nicotiana attenuata. RNAcentral's name for it is "Plant small nucleolar RNA R71". It matches the Rfam family "Plant small nucleolar RNA R71". Rfam says of the family: R71 is a member of the C/D box family of snoRNAs containing the C (UGAUGA) and D (CUGA) box motifs. Multiple nearly identical copies of this snoRNA have been identified in Arabidopsis, and it is thought to function as a 2'-O-ribose methylation guide for 18S ribosomal RNA. The record is from Rfam by way of RNAcentral. Lineage: Eukaryota; Viridiplantae; Streptophyta; Magnoliopsida; Solanales; Solanaceae.